UACGGAAGGCAGCAGUGGGGAAUAUUGCACAAUGGGCGAAAGCCUGAUGCAGCUAUGCCGCGUGUAUGAAGAAGGCCUUAGGGUUGUAAAGUACUUUCAUCGGGGAGGAAAAAACAAAACUAAUAAUUUUAUUUCUUGACGUUACCCGAAAAAGAAGCACCGGCUAACUCCGUGCCAGCAGCCGCGGUAAUACGGAGGGUGCUAGCGUUAAUCAGAAUUACUGGGCGUAAAGAGCACGUAGGUGGUUUUUUAAGUCAGAUGUGAAAUCCCUGGGCUUAACCUGGAACUGCAUUUUGAAACUGAAAUACUAGAGUAUCGUAGAGGGAGGUAGAAUUCUAGGUGUAGCGGUGAAAUGCGUAGAUAUCUGGAGGAAUACCUGUGGCGAAAGCGGCCUCCUAAACGAAUACUGACACUGAGGUGCGAAAGCGUUGGGGAGCAAACAGGGAUUAGAUACC
RNAcentral lists this ribosomal RNA (455 nucleotides) under uncultured bacterium. RNAcentral's name for it is "bacterial SSU rRNA". It matches the Rfam family "Bacterial small subunit ribosomal RNA", at positions 340 to 786 of the family's 1533-position model. The record is from RNAcentral.